CACGGAGUCCCCAAAGUCCAUUGUAUCAUUCUAAGAUAUGUUGUCUGGAGCUGAAGCAGCCAUCUUGUGACCAUGAGGGAGAUGCCGAGAGAGAUCUCAGAGCUUCCGGCCGCCUCGCCACGGCUGGUCACAGCCUCCCUCCAGAAUGCUGAGAUGGGGGCGUUGUUGUGUGAGGGAGAAAGACCCUGUUGCUCUAAGAUUUUUUUUUUAAUGUAACUUGCAACAAAAAACUUUCCUAAAUAAUAUGGACGUUAAAAGGCCUUCAGAGAAACACAACCAGCCCACCAGCCCCUCAUGUUUUCUGAUUUAUUUAUAAUUUUUACCUCACCUGUUUCCUGAAAAAGAACUGACGAAGCUGAGAGACGCUGGUCACUGACCCUGAGCCUAAGGUUUAGCUGGAGUUUUCUUGUUGACCUCACGGUGAUGCUUCUGGUACCACUGUUUUCAUCUAGUCCUAAAGCAACCACAGAGAGUGAAUGCCACCUGUUGACCUGGCAGCGCAGCAUGAAGUCGGUGAAAUCCUCUUACUGCUCCGUAUGCCACCUCCUCCAGGAAGCCUCUUGGAUUCUCCCAGGCAGAAGGUGUUGGUCUCUCUUCCAUAAUCCUAUUGCCCCCUAAAGAUUAUGCUAGCAUUGCUGCCUGCCUUGGACCUGUGCUGUGCAUGGAAAGCCCAGCCCCACGUCACACCUAGUCAUGUUCCAUGGAGCCUUGUUAAAUGGAUGCAGGAAUCACGGGAUGCCCUGAACGAGAUAGGUUGGAGGAGCCUCCACCUGUUCACCAUCUGCCUCCACAGCUUCCCUGCCACCUGUCCUGGGAGGAUGACCUGCAGGCUGCUGGGCUUCUGACCCACCUGGGAUGGCUCAGGCCACCCUCUCCCACUUGGCUGGGGUUCCUACCUUCUACCUGCUGUCUUCCUCUCAUGGGGUAGUUGGGAGGAGGGCACUUAGCUUUGCCCUGGCUGACCUCUCCCACCCCACUGGCCCAGCUACCUUCUUCUGGUUAAAGCUUCAGGCCUGGCAUGUGACCCUGGGCUGGGACCCACUGCAGAAAGGGUCGGUGUUGGCCCACAGGUUCUGUGGCUGCACCUCAAGCCCAGGAGGCAGGAGGGGCACUAGUCUCCAAAGUCAGCCCCAAAACCGUGUUUUUUUUGACAUCACAUCAUGAUUUUUCCUCCUAGAUUUGGUGGCCCAGGGAGGCGGCAGGCCCCUGGCGGAAGCCCCCCAGGGCACUGUGAUGAGUUCAGCCGCCUCCCACAGAGGAUGAGUGGGUCGGCCAAGGCUCUGGCGGAAAUUGCAAAUUAAACUUAAAAGGUAACCUAGCAUUUAGUUAGCUUUUUAGAAAAGAGCUGUGGAGUGGCCAGAAGGACGGCCACAGAGAAAUGACAACAGUCACUGUCACACUGAAGCCCGAGUGCCUUUACCAGGGUGUGAGCGAUGUCACCACCGUUUCCUCCUUCUUCCCAGCCACCGUUCCGGCCUCUCAGAAGCUGAUUUUUUCCACCUCCACCUCCUUCCUCUGCUGCUGUGGCUGCACUCCAGAGCCUGCCCGCCCGAACCCUUCUCCAAAGGAAUCGACUCUUCUGCAGUUCCCCUCCCCGUGGCCUGAAGACACAGUUUUCCUAAUAGAGCGUUUCAUAGCAGCAAAGCGGUUGUCGAUAAACCCUUCAGGUCGAGCAGAGCCCGUGAGUCAAAGGAAAUCCGUGCUAGUCAUUGAGCACUGAAUGACUUGUUUCAAACUCAAGUACAAGCCUGGCUGGGAGAGAAGAUUAUUAUUACUGUUAUUAAGUCUUCCUGUACCUCCUAUUGAACAUCUUAUUAGCAAUGUGUGUAAGCAUCUGCUCCUGGACCCAACUUCGAUACUACACUGUUGACUCCAAUUUUAUAAAUGUGUAAGAAGUGAGUAAAUUAAGCGGUGUGAACCCUGCCGGGGCCCUGACCCUGCCAGCCUGGUGUGCAGGCCCAGGACUGCUGUACAGCAUAAUGAUUACAUUACAAUCUUGUGAUAUUAUUCACAAUGACUUCAGAUGAAUGAAUGAUAAACUAGGGGUUAUGCCGCCUUUAUUACAGAGCUGAUACGAUAGCUAAUCAGUGUCCAAGUAUAUGUCAUUACAUAAAUUAUGAACCUGAAUUUGAUGUGAAUUCCCAAAGAGGCUGGUUCUGAACAUCAUCCAGUAUAAGGCCACAGGCUGAGCUCUGAAUUCUGAAAACAACAGCCCUUUUUGCUCUCAUAAUUUCUGUAAAUUACUAAUAGAUAUCUUUAAAGGCCCAGGGAAUAUACUUUAAUCCACUAAGACUUUCUUUGUGGUAAAUGAUCAACACUUUUUUCUUUCAAAGACUUUUUUCCAUCCUCCGUGUUCUGCGUCUGUUUAACGAAGGUUUUCUUAUUCCUUAAGCUGAUACGUGAAGAAUAAGAAAGACUACUAAAUGACCGGUCAAUUACAGAUGGGAGAAGAGGCAUUAAAAAGUCAAGUGUGGGAUUCUCCAAAGCAGAUCUAAAGCCAGAAGCCAGGCUCUUGAGGGCGAAGACCAGGGCUCCCUGAUCCUGUCUUCCCAGAGUAGGCACACGCUAGUAUGGGUGAGGUUCCCUGUAUUCAGGCUGGGUGAAUAAAUGAAUGACUUCCUCAAGGAAAUGAUACUUCUGGUUAGAACACUGCAGCCUGAGAAGCUUACACUGAUUCAGGGAGGCUGGGCAGAAGUGAGCAGAUCUGGGUUUGAAUCUCUCAUUCACUUGCUAGCUCAGACCCAGGGAAAGUUGUUUUUUUAUUUUAUUUUUUAUUUUUUCGAGUUGGAGUCUUGGUCUGUCGCCCAGGCUGGAGUGCAGUGGCAUGAUCUCAGCUCAUGGCA
This 2843-nucleotide long non-coding RNA is filed under the name Homo sapiens (human). Its description in RNAcentral is "HSALNT0360650". The record is from RNAcentral. Lineage: Eukaryota; Metazoa; Chordata; Mammalia; Primates; Hominidae.